Rattus norvegicus (Norway rat) is the source of this 122-nucleotide small nuclear RNA. Ensembl annotates it as U4 spliceosomal RNA. Lineage: Eukaryota; Metazoa; Chordata; Mammalia; Rodentia; Muridae. The record is from Ensembl.
AACUUUGUGCAGUAGCAGUAUGGUAGCCAAUGAGGUUUAUCUGAGGUGCAAUUAUUGCUAAUUGAAAACUUUUCCCUAAAAAAAUUCAAACGACUGAACUGUGAAAAAAAAUUAAAGAUAAU